AUACGGAGGAUCCGAGCGUUAUCCGGAUUUAUUGGGUUUAAAGGGUGCGCAGGCGGCCAUUUAAGUCAGCGGUUAAAUCGUGGGGCUCAACCCCAUUCUGCCGUUGAUACUGGGUGGCUUGAUUGCGGUCGAGGUUGGCGGAAUUCGUUGUGUAGCGGUGAAAUGCAUAGAUAUGACGAAGAACACCGAUUGCGUAGGCAGCUGACCAGACCGCAAAUGACGCUCAUGCACGAAAGUGCGGGGAUCGAACAGGAUUAGAUACCCUGGUAGUCCGCGCAGUAAACGAUGCGCACCAGGUGUCGGGCGGCAGCGCCCGGUACCGGAGCAAACGCGAUGAGUGCGCCGCCUGGGGAGUAUGCCCGCAAGGGUGAAACUCAAAUGAAUUGACGGGG
Molecule: ribosomal RNA, 392 nt
Filed under: uncultured bacterium
Lineage: Bacteria
Description: partial 16S ribosomal RNA
Rfam family: Bacterial small subunit ribosomal RNA
Source: RNAcentral